RNAcentral lists this ribosomal RNA (495 nucleotides) under uncultured bacterium. RNAcentral's name for it is "partial 16S ribosomal RNA". It matches the Rfam family "Bacterial small subunit ribosomal RNA", at positions 28 to 507 of the family's 1533-position model. The record is from RNAcentral.
GAUGAACGCUGGCGGCGUGCUUAACACAUGCAAGUCGAACGAAGCACCUCUCCCGAAGAUUGCCACAGCUUGCUGUAGAUUGAUUCAUUUGAGGUGACUGAGUGGCGUACGGGUGAGUAACGCGUGGGUAACCUGCCUCAUAGAGGGGGACAACAGUUGGAAACGACUGCUAAUACCGCAUAGUAAGAAGAAUUCGCAUGUUUUCUUCUUGAAAGAUUUAUCGCUAUGAGAUGGACCCGCGUCUGAUUAGCUAGUUGGUAAGGUAACGGCUUACCAAGGCGACGAUCAGUAGCCGGCUUGAGAGAGGGAACGGACACAUUGGGACUGAGACACGGCCCAAACUCCUACGGGAGGCAGCAGUGGGGAAUAUUGCACAAUGGGGGAAACCCUGAUGCAGCGACGCCGGGUGAGUGAAGAAGUAUUUCGGUAUGUAAAGCUCUAUCAGCAGGGAAGAUAAUGACGGUACCUGACUAAGAAGCCCCGGCUAACUACGUG